GCCUGGUGCGGUGGCGCAUGCCUGUAGUCCCAGCUACUCGGGAGGCUGAGGCUGGAGGAUCGCUUGAGCCCAGGAGUUCUAGGCUGUAGUGCGCUAUGCCGAUCUGGUGUCCACACUAAGUUCGACAUCAAUAUGGUGAACUCCUGGGACCGGGGACCACCAGGUUGCCUGAGGGGUAAACCGGCCCAGGUCGGAAACAGAGCAGGUCAAAACUCCUGUGCUAAUCAGUAGUGGGAUCAUGCCUGUGACUAGCCACUGCACUCCAGCCUGGGCAACAUAGCGAGACCCCAUCUCUU
Unclassified non-coding RNA from Callithrix jacchus (white-tufted-ear marmoset), 296 nucleotides. It matches the Rfam family "Metazoan signal recognition particle RNA". Rfam says of the family: The signal recognition particle (SRP) is a universally conserved ribonucleoprotein. It is involved in the co-translational targeting of proteins to membranes. NCBI's taxonomy places the organism in Eukaryota, Metazoa, Chordata, Mammalia, Primates, Cebidae. The record is from Ensembl.